GUCUAUGGCCAUGCUACUCUGAACAAGCCCAAUCCCGUCUGAUCUCGGAAGCUAAGCAGGGUCGGGCCUGGUUAGUACUUGGAUGGGAGACCACCUAGGAAGUCCAGGUGCUAUAGGCA
Pteropus alecto (black flying fox) is the source of this 119-nucleotide non-coding RNA. Lineage: Eukaryota; Metazoa; Chordata; Mammalia; Chiroptera; Pteropodidae. The record is from Rfam.